This is a non-coding RNA of Caenorhabditis elegans, 21 nucleotides long. The record is from Ensembl. Lineage: Eukaryota; Metazoa; Nematoda; Chromadorea; Rhabditida; Rhabditidae.
UUUUGACUAGGGAGAAUUUCU